CGCAUCGCAGCUAUACAUGCAAGUCGAGGGGUAUGGGUUGCUUGCAACCCAGAGACCGGCGCACGGGUGCGUAACGCGUAUGCAACCUACCUUGAUCAGGGGGAUAGCCCGGAGAAAUCCGGAUUAACACCGCAUAACAUUGUGAUAUGGCAUCAUAUUAUAAUCAAAUAUUUAUAGGAUCGAGAUGGGCAUGCGUGACAUUAGUUAGUUGGUGAGGUAACGGCUCACCAAGACUGCGAUGUCUAGGGGAUCUGAGAGGAUGACCCCCCACACUGGUACUGAGACACGGACCAGACUCCUACGGGAGGCAGCAGUAAGGAAUAUUGGUCAAUGGGCGCAAGCCUGAACCAGCCAUGCCGCGUGCAGGAAGACGGCCCUACGGGUUGUAAACUGCUUUUGUACCGGAAUAAACCUGCUCUCGUGAGAGCAGCUGAACGUACGGUAAGAAUAAGGAUCGGCUAACUCCGUGCCAGCAGCCGCGGUAAUACGGAGGAUCCAAGCGUUAUCCGGAUUUAUUGGGUUUAAAGGGUGCGUAGGCGGCUUUUUAAGUCAGGGGUGAAAACUUGCGGCUCAACCGUAAGCUUGCCUUUGAUACUGAGGAGCUUGAAUACACUUGAGGUAGGCGGAAUGUGACAAGUAGCGGUGAAAUGCAUAGAUAUGUCACAGAACACCAAUUGCGAAGGCAGCUUACUAAAGUGAGAUUGACGCUGAGGCACGAAAGCGUGGGGAUCAAACAGGAUUAGAUACCCUGGUAGUCCACGCCCUAAACGAUGAAUACUCGAUGUUAGCGAUAUACAGUUAGCGUCUAAGCGAAAGCGUUAAGUAUUCCACCUGGGGAGUACGCCCGCAAGGGUGAAACUCAAAGGAAUUGACGGGGGCCCGCACAAGCGGAGGAGCAUGUGGUUUAAUUCGAUGAUACGCGAGGAACCUUACCCGGGCUUGAAAGUUACUGAAGUUCCCAGAGAUGGGAGCGUCCUUCGGGACAGGAAACUAGGUGCUGCAUGGCUGUCGUCAGCUCGUGCCGUGAGGUGUUGGGUUAAGUCCCGCAACGAGCGCAACCCCUGUGAAUAGUUGCCAGCACGUUAAGGUGGGGACUCUAUUCAGACUGCCUGUGCAAACAGUGAGGAAGGAGGGGACGACGUCAAGUCAUCAUGGCCCUA
RNAcentral lists this ribosomal RNA (1160 nucleotides) under Arcticibacter sp. RNAcentral's name for it is "bacterial SSU rRNA". It matches the Rfam family "Bacterial small subunit ribosomal RNA", at positions 41 to 1203 of the family's 1533-position model. Lineage: Bacteria; Pseudomonadati; Bacteroidota; Sphingobacteriia; Sphingobacteriales; Sphingobacteriaceae. The record is from RNAcentral.